UCCUAGGGGCGGGACACCUCUUAAUACCGGGAUUAUUACCUCCUAAUAAAUAUUAGAUCGCUAAUCCUCAUCAAAAACUGUAGCGUUUUUUCUUUGGUAUGUCAUGACUUAUCUUCAAUCCCACUUUUGUCAAUGAAAUGGAAACACGAACGCUACGAUUUUGUGCGAUGCAACGCAGAGAUGCUUCGAAGUUAACGAUGUGUCCACCACCGAUGUGUGAUAAAGUUAUAUGAAGUUCUUCUGGGAAAACAUCGGUGUUCGUCUCCUGGAGCACACAGCAGAUGGAGAAUUCAAAACCGUAUACUUGCUAAACUUACGAUCAACCCUAGUGGACGCCAUCGAACACAAAUAUAAAUUCGUUUUCGUACAGCUUAUAGAAACUGCUGCAAACUCA
Molecule: long non-coding RNA, 394 nt
Organism: Aedes albopictus (Asian tiger mosquito)
Lineage: Eukaryota; Metazoa; Arthropoda; Insecta; Diptera; Culicidae
Exons: 2
Source: RefSeq, a predicted model, not a curated record